GAUGAACGCUAGCUACAGGCUUAACACAUGCAAGUCGAGGGGCAGCAUUUUUAUAGCAAUAUAAAAGAUGGCGACCGGCGCACGGGUGAGUAACACGUAUCCAACCUGCCGAUAACUCGGGGAUAACCUUCGAAGAAGGCCUAAUACCGACUGGCAUAUCCCUUCCGCCUGGUGGGGAGUAUUAAAGAACUUCGGUUAUCGAUGGGGAUGCGUUUCAUUAGCUUGUUGGCGGGGUAACGGCCCACCAAGGCAUCGAUGGAUAGGGGUUCUGAGAGGAAGGUCCCCCCACAUUGGAACUGAGACACGGUCCAAACUCCUACGGGAGGCAGCAGUGAGGAAUAUUGGUCAAUGGGACGAGAGUCUGAACCAGCCAAGUAGCGUGAAGGGAUGAAGGGUCCUAUGGGAUU
This 407-nucleotide ribosomal RNA is filed under the name uncultured bacterium. RNAcentral's name for it is "bacterial SSU rRNA". It matches the Rfam family "Bacterial small subunit ribosomal RNA", at positions 28 to 425 of the family's 1533-position model. The record is from RNAcentral.